Long non-coding RNA from Passer domesticus (house sparrow), 976 nucleotides. RefSeq lists it as uncharacterized. The transcript has 3 exons. The record is from RefSeq and is a predicted model, not a curated record. NCBI's taxonomy places the organism in Eukaryota, Metazoa, Chordata, Aves, Passeriformes, Passeridae.
GCUGUUCAGGAGGAGGAACACUCAGGGAGAAGCAGUGGCUCAUUGGCAGCCCUAGCUGCAGGAAGGAAGGCAAAGCCAGACACGGGCACAGGCACAGCAGAUGCAGCCGGCACCACAAGACCUGUUCCCAAUGCCCAGGAUGGCCUCGGAAGGGGUUUCUAUCAGGAAACAGGCUACUGGCUAGCAAUACUGGCAUUUAUGUUUUGUUUGGAGCUUGUCUUCGUGUUGUGCUUGUUUGGAAUCCGGUAUUUGGAAUCGGGAAGAGAAAACAGAGCACCUCGGGACAGGAGUUUAAAGACGGUGGCUGCACCUCACACCCAGAGAGCGUGAGCAGCUCCUCCAGCAGCAGGAAUGGCCCGGACAGCCCUCUCAAGUGUUCUGUGAAGAGGACCCCAGAAGAGCCGUCGACAAGGAAGCGUCUUAUUGCCCCGUAGUUCCCACUGCCACCUGCUCUCCCCAUGGGCCUCCCCAAGCUUCCUUUAUUCCUUUUUUUCUCUCCGUCUGUCCCAUCCCAGCCAACCCGAGUUCCGCUAGGGACCCCAGGACCAGCCCAGCACCUUCCAGCACAUCCUGAGACCAACACAUCCCUUCCUCUGCCCCUGAGCCCCCUGGCCUUGCCCUCUAGGCAACACUGAAGGUUGUGGAGGAUUUUGUGAACAGCUGGCUAGCUAACAAAGGUCACACUGACAUAAUACCGUUAAUUAAGCAAGAAGGAGACGAGGAUAGGAGUCAGCAGUCAGUGUCCAAACCUGGCAAGGGCACUGUGCCCUUGGUGCAACAUCAGGAUGGAUCGUUAGUUAGAAACAUGAAGAAAAUAUGUAAACAGCUGCAGCAUAGUAGCCUCAAGAAUGAUAAGGUAGGCGUAGUUAGCUGAUAAGUAACUAACCAAUAAUGAGCUCGCUUUUUGCAAUAUGUAUUAGCCUCAUUAACACCAAUAUAAAUGUAUGUGCCUAUCAAUAAAGUUUUGAGAUUUGCU